This 305-nucleotide ribosomal RNA is filed under the name Crossopriza pristina. RNAcentral describes it as "partial 12S ribosomal RNA". Lineage: Eukaryota; Metazoa; Arthropoda; Arachnida; Araneae; Pholcidae. The record is from RNAcentral.
GGUAGUAAAUAAAAAACCCAUAUAUUAUGGCGGUCACUUUAUAUUAGAGGAACUUGCUUUAUAAUCGUCAACACUCGAUAAUUUUGACUUAUUUUUACAGCCUAUAUACCGCCGUUACAGAAUUUAUUAAACAAUAAAAUUCAAAUAAGAAUCUCUAAAAAAUCAGGUCAAGGUGUAGCCCAUAAAUAAGAAAAAGUUAGUUACAUUAAAAAUAAUUUAAGGAAAAUAACUUAAAAUUGACAAGAAAAAGAAUCUAAUUACAAAUCUGAAUUAAAAUUUCAAAUAUAAAUCAUAAAACGUGACGC